CCUCUGAAGCGCAGUGGGAGCGCUCCCGCCUCGCUCCGGAGGCUUUGCGUUGCUUUCACUGAAGCCUGGAGAGCGAGAGGGGUCGGUGCGUACCGAUCCCUCUCACUCUCCUGGCUUUGCUUCGCUGGAGAGGCGCUGCGCAGCUUUCCCUCUCUGUGCAGCACCCCUUCAGCCAAGCGGGAGGAGAAAUGGAAGGGGCUCCGUUUCUCCUGCCGCUUUGCUGAAGGGGUGCUGCGCAGAGAGGGAGAGAAUUUUUUUUUCUUGUUCUCCCCCUCUAAAACAAGGUGCAUCAUAUGGUUGGGUGUGUUCUAUAGAGCGAAAAAUACGGUAAUUAUACAACCAAUGCAAGAAACUAACUUAUACUGAGUUGGCUCAACGCUCCAUCUACCUCCUCAUUGUCUGCACUGACCAACAGAAGUGCACCAGAGUUUCAGGCAAAUGCUCUACCAAUGAGCUACAGUUCUUACCCCAUAAGCUGCGGCCUGGUUUAUGCACUCACCUGACCUGUGCUCCAUUUUAUGAGCUGGAAGAGGAGUUUCUCUCUUCCACCAUGCAUAUAAUGUAACAAGGGAGGCAGGUGCUGCAUUCACAGAUCUGUAUUUUGAUGGCAUGGUUUUUGCUUUAUUAGCCACCCUGUUUUUAUAAAGGAAGAGCUAUUAAAACCAUUAUUUAGACACAUGAGUCUUCUGCUUCACGUAGGCCGUGAAUAGUAUAAGAAAGGCCAGGAAGGGUGCCUCUCUGUGCUGCCUCAUUAAUUGGAGUGCUAGCCCACUGGGUGUAUAAAUGGCAACAUUUGGAUAAGUGUGCUAGUGCUGGCACUAUCAUUAUUACUGCUGCUAUUUAGCAUUUGUUUAGUAGAAUCAGUGCACCAUUGCACUAUCUGUUAAGAAGACUUUUAUAGAUAGGACAGAGGGAAACGGAAAGGGCAGGACUUGAUAAGCAAAAGUAGAAAGGAUAAUAUAGUGAUGACUGCAGGCAAAAGAAUAGCAGCAUAUCCAGACUAUCUGUAUUUCAAGGGAGGGAUUCAAGUGAACACGAAAUCUAGGUUUGCACAGCUAAAGUAGGUGAAAGAGCUCUGUCGCAACAAAUUCACUUUAAAAAACCUGUUUUUUGCAGUUAAGAAAGUGAUGGGGAAAUGAACUACAAAGUGUGGGGAGAAUGAAUGGUUAGCAGGAAGAUGCACAAGCAAAUUGGGAUGUUUUCAGGAUGAAUUCUCAUUGUCAUAGAACCUCCUUGCAAACAAAUAGAACAAAUUAUCAAUAAAGACCAGACAGAAUUUAACCUCCAUGUAAGCUUUGUGUAAGCAAAUGUGGGUGAAUGUUCGAUAAACAGGACGUCUGGAGGAGUCCUGAGGACAGAGUGUGCUAGUAAAAUAUCUGUAGAAAAGUUGGGUUUUGCAGACAGAUUAGAAGGAGGGAAGAGAGGUGACUUAAUAGACAGUGGUGGGAAAAUAUUUAGGAUUAGUGCAUUAAUUAAAAACCGGGAUAUAAACUUAAAUAUGAAAUCAAUUUUAUUUUUUUAAAAAAAAUGGUUGUAAAUUAUUUAGUCUCGUUGUUCAACUGACUAUGCUUUUACCUUUAAAAUGUCAAGGAUUCUGUAUGAUGUAGACUAUUUCUGAGUUAAUAUUCCUAGCACCCUUGAACAACAUUAGCUGAACAAAUAUUGCAGUCAUGAUACCCUGGAGUAGUUCCCUAAGUCCCAUUACAAUUGGAUAGAAAUAAAACCUGUUUAGGACCAACAUUUCCUAUAUAUAAGAGACACCUUGAAAAUAAGAUUCCACCAUCCCCAGAUCCAAAGGUUUCUGUAGCAAAAUGGCACACAGUAAAAAUGAGGCUUUUGACAAUUGCAGUGUGAUAAAGUGGAGCAGGAUCCAUAUGUACUCAGUUUUGCUGGAGUUUAUGAGGCUUUCACGGGGAAUUCCUUUUGCAGUAUAGAUGCAAUUGAUAGAGCCAAAAAAAUUAGAUAUGGAGGAGAAUUCAAUACUCUUGAAAUAGUAUAUGUAUUCUGUUAUGGCCACAGAGGCCUUAGUGAAAAAUGUAAAUCUUAAAAGUCACUUAAAAGUCUGGAUAAAUCAUUCCACUUCUCACUACUUCUCAAUCACUUAAACUGAAGGCAGAAAGAAAGCAGAACAUUUAGACUGCUGCUCCGAGCCAGACAGUUGCUUCGGUACAACUGAACCAUGGAUAAACCAGAUAUAAAAGGCAGACCUUUUGCAUUAAAAGUAAAUAGAUUGGAAGGUGGAUGGUUAACUAUAUUCUUGCUCAUCAGCUUCACUUCUAAAACCUCUGAAUACAAACAGAAUAAUUAAAUAUUUUAGGAUUUUCUUGAUUCAUAAAGGAGCACUCCUCAAUUCUUAGAUUAAUUUGUACAGUCUAUACUAUAUACAAGUGAGGAGAUACCAAUUCAUAAUGUGAUGGAUGCAAUCUAAAUGCAAUAUAUGCUGCUUGACACAAGUUUCCAUUGCUUCAAAGACAUUUUUGUCGGGAUUGUUUUAUAGAGUGAAAAGGUGCACCAUAAAACAUCUGAUGCUUUCUAAAAAACAAGUCCUCUAGCUCUCUUGACUAUUUUAUUCACCUUUGGUUGCAAUUUUAAACACACAGUGCAACUGUAUGCAUGUUUACUUGGAAGUAGACAACACUAUUUUCAGUAAGGCUUACUCCUAGGUAAUUGUGGAUAAGAUUUUUCCCAGUUUCUACGGAACUCAAUGGGAUAUAUGUCAGAGUAAAUACAGAUAUAUUUGGGGCAUAAGUAAUAAUAUAUAAUUAAUUAAACACAUAUUAAAAGAUUAUGUCCCUGCUCCCAAGGUUACAGUCUAAAUAAAUCAAUACCGGCAAAUUCUGAAGUAACAGAUUUUGCUGCACUAAAUACAGCUAAAUACGAUGGAGCAAGUACUGUUUGUAAACCACUGCUGAAUUUAACAGCGGUAGUAAAUAUUAGUAGCUCUGAUAUACUGUACAGGAGUAAGUCCCGAAAUGCAUGUGUUUAGUUUCUUAUUAUUAUUUAUUUAUUUUUUACAUUUUACACCACCUUGGGUUGAAUAUCUGGAAGACGACUCUUAUGUUUUUGAGGAGUUAGACUUCAUAUUGACGGGAUUCAAGGGAUGAAUUCUGGAUAUUUGUAACAAAGAGAAUGCAGCAGCAAAAUACGAAGCAUCUUACUCGGCAACAUACUCCCCCUCCGAUAUGGCUAAAAUAGACAUCACUGCACUUCAUCGUUAUACAGUGCUGGUACAAUCGCAGUGCAAGAGUAUCCUGAGGUAUCCAUUGAAAGGCAGAGAGAGAUCUGUCAGGAAACAGUGGACCAACGUAAAGUAAUGGCAUUCCUUACCAUAGAAAUCAAUCAAAAUACAGCCCCUUCAAAGAUUUCAGCCAAAACAGAAAUAUCCAUAAUAAGCAGAUUCUAUCAAGGCCUGGCUUUUAAGAUUUAUGGUUAGCAAUGUAUUAUUGUUGUUGUUUUAUGAUUUUCUAGUGUUUAAAACUGCGCUACUUGCUGGUUAAAAAAAAAAACCAGAGGAGAAAACAAGGGAAGUGAGGAAUAAGGGAUUUUUGUAUACAAUAAUGUAUAUGAAUAAAAAUGGAAAUUUAAGUAGAAAAACAAAAUGUGAACUAUUUUAUUUCACAAGAGUCCUCCCAUCCAAUAUUUCUUUUCGUGAACACUUAGAAGCCAGUGGUGAACUUCGCCAUUCCCUGUCAUGGAUGUAACUAUACACAAAACCGAAAGGUUUCCCUUGUCCUGUUAAUGCUACAGUGAGCAAAAGCUUAGAAAACAGAGAAGCACAGAUUUGGCUCAGGAGAAAGAGGUUGAAUUGUUAUUUUUAUCAUAAUGUUAUUUGAUGAGGAAACUCUUUUUUUGUUCUUUGUUUCAAAUUAAAUAAUCUUGACUUUGUAAAGUCCAAGUGCUAUGCUUUACUACAUCAGCCUAGGUGCUCAGAAUGAACACAAAGCAGGAUGUUAGCAAAGCUAGUUAACAUCCCUGACAAAAUACAGAGAUAUAAGUUUAGGAUCAGAGUACUACUCAGAACCACUACCUGAUGACUGAAUGAACCCUUAAAGAUGAAGAAACAGAAGAACUGAAAUGUUUCUAAAAGAAACAUUGGCAGAUUAUAAAUUUGAAAAAUUAAUAAAAAUUAAUGGGGGGGAAGUUGGCAGAUUAUGGGAGUGACAAUUAAUACACUUCUGUUUAUUACAAAGGAAAUACAUAAACAACAUGACAAAAUUUGGUGGUAUUUUAGACGUCCUCAUUAAAGGCCGAUCACAAAAUUCCAGUUGAUCAUAUUUUAGCCUGGAAAAUAAAACCUGAUCUUGUCCAGAAAUAUCUAAGGAAACCUAUGUGGGAUGAGGUUUGUAACUGCUAUCUUCAAGUCACACAGGCAAUAUCUUUCUCUCCUCCACCCCCGGCCUUUAAACUGGGAAGAAAGAAGUUGCUGUAAUUGUAAUAUUUCUUGUAUCUCACUCCUCUGCAGUUGCACACAGUGCAGUGUACAAAAACAAAAAACAAAACAGCCAUUUAUAUUAAAAGCAGCCAUUCAACACCAUAUAUAAUAAAGUAAGCUUUAAAGCCCGAGGUGGCAACAUGGUCAGUCAAACAACCAUUAAAAGCUUUCAGAAACAAAUGGGUUUCAUUUUCUUUCUAAGAGGGAGAACCAAACACAGUUUAAAUGGAAUUAAUAACUUAAUGAAUAACUGUUGCCUAGCUUGCUUUUUUUUUUUUAAAGGCAGAGCAUUUUAACAGUUAAUUUUCCGUAGUCACCAUUGUAACCAAUUUUGUAGUGGUGAAAUUGACUCAAGUAUUCACUGACAUUGACCAAAGGAUGACAAAUGGGAAAAUAAAGAUGUUCAGAUGCUCUGGGUAGUGUUCAGCUAUGUUUUACUCAGAGUACCAUAUUGACUGCGAGUGCUGGAAGACCUGCUCCCUGCCUUGCAUUCUUUUUCCACCUGUCCUAGAAAGGCAGAGCCCUGACUGACUCCAGCUACAAAAGCUGAGCCUGCUGCGUAUUGAUUAGAAGGAAGUUGGGGUUUUGGGGUGAAGGAGGGGUGUUGUUACUGCUAUUAUUGAUAUUUUUAUCUUUAUUUUAGAUUUAUUAUGUGGAAAUGUAUGUGGAAAUUGUGUUUUUAAUGUGGAAAUUGUUUUAAUUUGAUUGUUUACUUUUUAACAUUUUAUUUAUUGUUUAUGACUACUUUUGUUAUGUUUGUAAUUAUAUAUUUUUCAGGUUGUAAGCUGCCUUGAGCAUGGUUUUAACUAUGGAAAGGUGGCAAACAAAUAAAAUUAUGUAUGUAUGUAUGUAUGUAUGUAUGUAGACUCAUUGAAAAUGGACCUAAUUUAAUUGUUUAUUAUAUUUACUGGGAUAACACAGUAAGAUGGGCAACAUAUUUGUUGUUGUUGUUGGGGUCUACUCUGAAUACAACUUAAACGCCCCCACCGUUUGUAAACAUACUUCAUGUGGAACCUGUUUUAAAUUUCCACUUUCUCAUAUGCAUGUUCAAUUUGACAGUGUUAAAGCUGCCAGAGGAUCUAAAUAAAUAAUAAAUAUAAAAUGUCCAGUUAUCCAUGAAAACUCAGAUAGGGAUGGUCGGUGGGACUAUAUAGGAAAUGUCGCAUUUCUGUGACUUGGAGCGGGUAGCAAAUUUACAUGGGUUACAGUUGCCACCUUUUCACUACAAAUUUGACUGCCCAACAGAAAGCAGCAAAAGGAACGAAUCUAAAAGAGGAUUGAAAGGUAUCCUUCACUAAGGGAUAUUAGGCCGAAGUGAACAGAAGAAUCGCUGAAAGGAUAUUACUCCCUUUUUAAAUCUGGGGCACAUGUUAAAAGUUUCCCUCAGGCAGCACGUGCAUUGCUUUUAUUUCUUCAACACAUAACCUGAACUGACAGUAACCUUGGCACCAAUACAUGGGCAAUAUUUACAAAAGGAUGCACCAUUUCUGAACAAUGUCUCCCUAAUGUAGGAUAGGCAGGCUUUUCUUGAUCAUCAGGCAUGCAUGUCGUCUUGGUCCAGCAAUUUUGUUUGCAGACAAAUGUAGUCAUUGUGGACCCAGAAAAAUAAAGCGAGAGAAAAUUGCUAUUCUG
Molecule: long non-coding RNA, 6064 nt
Organism: Podarcis raffonei (Aeolian wall lizard)
Lineage: Eukaryota; Metazoa; Chordata; Lepidosauria; Squamata; Lacertidae
Exons: 4
Source: RefSeq, a predicted model, not a curated record